Molecule: unclassified non-coding RNA, 512 nt
Filed under: Hevea brasiliensis (rubber tree)
Lineage: Eukaryota; Viridiplantae; Streptophyta; Magnoliopsida; Malpighiales; Euphorbiaceae
Source: RNAcentral
UGCUGAAUAAUGAUUUAUUUUUAAUUAGGGAUUAUCAUGAAAUGAAACAAAGCACUUGACUUGCUCAUAAAUUUGUAAACAUCAUCAUGACUACAAGGGCCACAAAAAGGGAAAGGAAAUUAGCCGAGGACAAUAGAAAACAGAGUGGGAAGCAACAUUUUGGGCACAGAUAAAAGCAAGUGCCCAAGCAUCAAGCACACAAAGAUACAAAAUUAAUGUACAUAUUCCAAGGUCCUAAACCCUCAAGGACCAGAUAAAACUCUCUAUCUUAGAAGCAUAGAGUACUUGUUUUUCUCCUGAAUUAUAUGUUGGAAUUGCUCCUGAAUGACCCAAGAGCUUUAGCAGCAGAUGCUCUCAAGAUAUACUGGUGGUAAAAUGCAGCAAUUGCAGCACCAAUCAAAGGUCCAACCCAGAAAAUCCAUUGGUCAUCCCAUGCCUUGUCCUGGUUGUAGAUCACAGCAGCUCCAAAGCUCCUAGCUGGGUUAAUACCAGUGCCAGUGACUGGAAUUGUG